GACGAACGCUGGCGGCGUGCCUAAUACAUGCGAGUUGAGCGCUGAAGGUUGGUUCUUGUACCAACUGGAUGAGCAGCGAACGGGUGAGUAACGCGUGGGGAAUCUGCCUUUGAGCGGGGGACAACAUUUGGAAACGAAUGCUAAUACCGCAUAAAAACUUUAAACACAAGUUUUAAGUUUGAAAGAUGCAAUUGCAUCACUCAAAGAUGAUCCCGCGUUGUAUUAGCUAGUUGGUGAGGUAAAGGCUCACCAAGGCGAUGAUACAUAGCCGACCUGAGAGGGUGAGCGGCCACAUUGGGACUGAGACACGGCCCAAACUGCUACGGGAGGCAGCAGUAGGGAAUCGUCGGCAAUGGACGAAAGUCUGACCGAGCAACGCCGCGUGAGGGAAGAAGGUUUUCGGAUCGUAAAACUCUGUUGGUAGAGAAGAACGUUGGUGAGAGUGGAAAGCUCAUCAAGUGACGGUAACUACCCAGAAAGGGACGGCUAACUACGUG
RNAcentral lists this ribosomal RNA (497 nucleotides) under uncultured bacterium. RNAcentral describes it as "partial 16S ribosomal RNA". It matches the Rfam family "Bacterial small subunit ribosomal RNA", at positions 28 to 507 of the family's 1533-position model. The record is from RNAcentral.